GCUGGAGUAGCUCAGUUGGUUAGAGCGUGUGGCUGUUAAUCACAAAGUCGAAGGUUCGAGCG
Molecule: transfer RNA, 62 nt
Filed under: Morus notabilis
Lineage: Eukaryota; Viridiplantae; Streptophyta; Magnoliopsida; Rosales; Moraceae
Rfam family: tRNA
About the family: Transfer RNA (tRNA) molecules are approximately 80 nucleotides in length. Their secondary structure includes four short double-helical elements and three loops (D, anti-codon, and T loops). Further hydrogen bonds mediate the characteristic L-shaped molecular structure. tRNAs have two regions of fundamental functional importance: the anti-codon, which is responsible for specific mRNA codon recognition, and the 3' end, to which the tRNAs corresponding amino acid is attached (by aminoacyl-tRNA synthetases). tRNAs cope with the degeneracy of the genetic code in two manners: having more than one tRNA (with a specific anti-codon) for a particular amino acid; and 'wobble' base-pairing, i.e. permitting non-standard base-pairing at the 3rd anti-codon position.
Source: Rfam by way of RNAcentral